AAAAGAUAGGGAUUACAGAAGAGAGGUGAUGCAAGCAACAGCCACUAGUGGGUUUGCCAGUGGAAUGGAAGACAAGCAUUCCAGUGAUGCCAGUAGUUUGCUCCCACAGAAUAUUUUGUCUCAAACAAGCAGACACAAUGACAGAGACUACAGACUGCCAAGAGCAGAGACUCACAGUAGUUCUACGCCAGUACAGCACCCCAUCAAACCAGUGGUUCAUCCAACUGCUACCCCAAGCACUGUUCCUUCUAGUCCAUUUACGCUACAGUCUGAUCACCAGCCAAAGAAAUCAUUUGAUGCUAAUGGAGCAUCUACUUUAUCAAAACUGCCUACACCCACAUCUUCUGUCCCUGCACAGAAAACAGAAAGAAAAGAAUCUACAUCAGGAGACAAACCCGUAUCACAUUCUUGCACAACUCCUUCCACGUCUUCUGCCUCUGGACUGAACCCCACAUCUGCACCUCCAACAUCUGCUUCAGCGGUCCCUGUUUCUCCUGUUCCACAGUCGCCAAUACCUCCCUUACUUCAGGACCCAAAUCUUCUUAGACAAUUGCUUCCUGCUUUGCAAGCCACGCUGCAGCUUAAUAAUUCUAAUGUGGACAUAUCUAAAAUAAAUGAAGUUCUUACAGCAGCUGUGACACAAGCCUCACUGCAGUCUAUAAUUCAUAAGUUUCUUACUGCUGGACCAUCUGCUUUCAACAUAACGUCUCUGAUUUCUCAAGCUGCUCAGCUCUCUACACAAGCCCAGCCAUCUAAUCAGUCUCCGAUGUCUUUAACAUCUGAUGCGUCAUCCCCAAGAUCAUAUGUUUCUCCAAGAAUAAGCACACCUCAAACUAACACAGUCCCUAUCAAACCUUUGAUCAGUACUCCUCCUGUUUCAUCACAGCCAAAGGUUAGUACUCCAGUAGUUAAGCAAGGACCAGUGUCACAGUCAGCCACACAGCAGCCUGUAACUGCUGACAAGCAGCAAGGUCAUGAACCUGUCUCUCCUCGAAGUCUUCAGCGCUCAAGUAGCCAGAGAAGUCCAUCACCUGGUCCCAAUCAUACUUCUAAUAGUAGUAAUGCAUCAAAUGCAACAGUUGUACCACAGAAUUCUUCUGCCCGAUCCACGUGUUCAUUAACGCCUGCACUAGCAGCACACUUCAGUGAAAAUCUCAUAAAACACGUUCAAGGAUGGCCUGCAGAUCAUGCAGAGAAGCAGGCAUCAAGAUUACGCGAAGAAGCGCAUAACAUGGGAACUAUUCACAUGUCCGAAAUUUGUACUGAAUUAAAAAAUUUAAGAUCUUUAGUCCGAGUAUGUGAAAUUCAAGCAACUUUGCGAGAGCAAAGGAUACUAUUUUUGAGACAACAAAUUAAGGAACUUGAAAAGCUAAAAAAUCAGAAUUCCUUCAUGGUGUGAAGAUGUGAAUAAUUGCACAUGGUUUUGAGAACAGGAACUGUAAAUCUGUUGCCCAAUCUUAACAUUUUUGAGCUGCAUUUAAGUAGACUUUGGACCGUUAAGCUGGGCAAAGGAAAUGACAAGGGGACGGGGUCUGUGAGAGUCAAUUCAGGGGAAAGAUACAAGAUUGAUUUGUAAAACCCUUGAAAUGUAGAUUUCUUGUAGAUGUAUCCUUCACGUUGUAAAUAUGUUUUGUAGAGUGAAGCCAUGGGAAGCCAUGUGUAACAGAGCUUAGACAUCCAAAACUAAUCAAUGCUGAGGUGGCUAAAUACCUAGCCUUUUACAUGUAAACCUGUCUGCAAAAUUAGCUUUUUU
RNAcentral lists this long non-coding RNA (1753 nucleotides) under Homo sapiens (human). Its description in RNAcentral is "long non-coding RNA NONHSAT155265.1". The record is from RNAcentral. Lineage: Eukaryota; Metazoa; Chordata; Mammalia; Primates; Hominidae.